GUAUAAUGGACAGUUUCCAAUUAAGUGAGCAAUCGUGAGGGUUGUUCUACACCGGUCGCACUGUCGUGGAUGCUCACGUUUAUAUAUAUGCUUAUGCGUGAUACCAGUAUGUCCAAUUCGUAGUCGGUGCAUCUUCACAUUUAUUUCUCUGUCCCCGUCGCGCACCGUGUACAGUUUACCAACGUUCGGCUUUAUUUGCAUUAGAUACUUUUUCGCAUCUGUAGCCAUAACAAAGUUGACGUCCACACGAUCUUUACAUAUCGCCGUUCGAGCAGCACGAUCCGCCUGUUAAUUUCCAGGAAUUCCGACGUGACCUGGUACCCACAUGAAAACUAUUUCAAUGCGUUCGAGUAUGGGGUUCAAGGCAGAUUGACACCUUCUAGUCAUAACGUCAUCAGAAAAUAUUUGCGACAGAUUAUUGAUAACGCUCAGGCAAUCGGUGACAAUUAAAAAUUUCCCUUCAACAACCAUGGAACAAUACAUAAUCGCCUGCCACAGCGCAUAUUGCUCAGCAAAAAGUAUGGAAGAGAACCGACAUAGUUUCCAUUCAUGUGGUAUACCAUCGAUGACGAUUGCGCUCCCAGCACCACGUUCAGUUUUUCCCCCAUCCGUGUAUAUGAUCUCAUGUGCAGGAUACUGGUUACAAAUGCUUUGGAACUCCCGUAGCAGUAUAGGCAGAGUUAUAUUCCGCCAUUCAAGAUGUUCGCAAAACCGCACAUAAGAAGGGCGCGUGAUGGUCGGACG
This is a long non-coding RNA of Photinus pyralis (common eastern firefly), 744 nucleotides long. RefSeq lists it as uncharacterized. The transcript has 3 exons. The record is from RefSeq and is a predicted model, not a curated record. NCBI's taxonomy places the organism in Eukaryota, Metazoa, Arthropoda, Insecta, Coleoptera, Lampyridae.